This is a long non-coding RNA of Physcomitrium patens, 1070 nucleotides long. RefSeq lists it as uncharacterized. Lineage: Eukaryota; Viridiplantae; Streptophyta; Bryopsida; Funariales; Funariaceae. The record is from RefSeq and is a predicted model, not a curated record.
UCUGCGGAAGCAACGACGUCGGUACAAAUUCGAAAGCCCCCGCUCAGCAUCAACUGCAUUACAGUUGCAUGGUUUCUUUGAGUCUCAACGUAUCGGCUGAUUCCUCAGAUGAGUUCAAAAUUCAAAAACGGCGCCACUUCAGUUUUUAACAACUAUGAUGGAGAGCUUUGUUUCCAGGGUCUUUAUUUCUUUUCGUAUCGGCUCUUUUCUUGAAAGGGUCUACACCCAAUCUUCACCCGCGAGUCAUUCACAGGGAUCCGGGCAUUGUCUACCUUGACAAACUAUGUCAUUGCAUCUUACUUCCGACCCAUUACAAGUUGGAAUAUGUUCAGGUCUCCAGUUAAAUCUGAACGAUGAGUGGUGUUGAACGACUUUUACUUUUCCUUUCCAAAAUUUGCAGUUGGUCAUUUUGUUAAAUAUUGUUGGCAACUGAUCUUGAGUGUCGGAUUGUUUGUUUGGACGAAUGAUCCUGGUGCAGGUAGAGAUGGCCUAGAAAAUCACCUCUCAUACAGUACUCAACUUCUUGUGCACAUGACCAAUUGCUGAACUGGAUUCUCCUCCAUUAGAAGUACUUUACGAUUGAAAAGGUAGAGCCCAGUCUUGUAGAGUUUUCAAUUUCGAACUCCAGUAAUUCAAAUAUGGACAGACAAUGUACAAACCCACCACAAUGGAGCUCGGAAACGAGCGGGUGAGGGAUUGAGGGAACAUACUUCUUGCGUAUACUGAUCCAGACCUGUAGAGUAUCAUGGAGAAAGAGGAGACUCGUGGAUGGAGAGAUGUUUGGCUCAUUGCUUUAAAAACGUUUGCUUCACUUGCUGCUUCUGUAGCUCUGGGAACCCACCUCACAAAUAAGUACUUGGAGGGACUCCUUUGUACCAGGCGCCACAAAUGUUAUUUUAUUUAUUUAUUUAAUUAUUUUCAUCUUUCCCUUGUAUAGAUCUCAUAAUUUAUCAUAGUUGGUAGUUUAGGAUCAAAGUAGUUUUGUAGUUUUUGGCAAUGUGUUUCCAAUUUUUAUAAAUUAUUAUAUAAACUUUAGAUCUUGUUGCAAUUUUGUUGUAUACUUAUAUUUU